This 600-nucleotide long non-coding RNA is filed under the name Androctonus crassicauda. The record is from RNAcentral. Lineage: Eukaryota; Metazoa; Arthropoda; Arachnida; Scorpiones; Buthidae.
AUUUACGUACACUUUGACGGCUACGGAAGACGAAAUCCGGCAGCCAAUAAGAGAGUUUGGAGAAAAUAUGGUGGAUGGGAUCGAAAUGUAGACAAAGCGAUUUGUUUAGGCGCUCUGCUAUCAUAAUAAAAAUAUUAAACACUAUUGUAAUAAAUUUAAAGCAUACAGGGAAGAAAUUUGUCCUAAAGGUUCAGAUUUUAAAUAUAAUUAGGACUACGGCUGCCUUUACAAUAUCGGAGUCACUAGAAUCAGCUGUUUGCAUUAGCUGGUGGCCAAAUAGCUACCACUUGUUUGUAAGCAGUAGCCAAAAUGGAAAUUCUGGUAGCAAUUGGCUACUUGGCUACCAGGUUUGUCGAGCCAUGUGAUGUCAUCCAUUCUUCAUCAUGAUGAUAUCACAUUGGGACUGUGAUGUUAUUAAAAUAGAUGUUGAGAUAGAUGGUGCUGUGUUAAGAAAUCCGGUAAAUCCAAUGAGUAAACCAUAUGUUAACUACAUAUUGCUAACACUUAGUGCCAUCUAUUGUUAAUAAUAUAAAGUAAAAUUUUGAUAAAAUUUAAAUUCCAUCCUGUAGAAUUAAAGGAUGCAGCAUUGAGGGAUUCUUU